UUAGGGUCAUCCUUGGGGAAGCUAUCCUUUCUAGAUAGUAAUAGUAUAUUUUAUACACUCUAAA
This 64-nucleotide transfer RNA is filed under the name Eurylepta cornuta. RNAcentral describes it as "tRNA-Glu". Lineage: Eukaryota; Metazoa; Platyhelminthes; Polycladida; Euryleptidae. The record is from RNAcentral.